RNAcentral lists this unclassified non-coding RNA (345 nucleotides) under soil metagenome. RNAcentral's name for it is "partial contains 5.8S ribosomal RNA, internal transcribed spacer 2, and large subunit ribosomal RNA". The stretch from base 1 to 120 matches the Rfam family "5.8S ribosomal RNA", at positions 35 to 154 of the family's 154-position model. The record is from RNAcentral.
GAUGAAGAACGCAGCGAAAUGCGAUAAGUAAUGUGAAUUGCAGAAUUCAGUGAAUCAUCGAAUCUUUGAACGCACAUUGCGCUCCCUGGUAUUCCGGGGAGCAUGCCUGUCCGAGCGUCAUUGCUGCCCUCAAGCACGGCUUGUGUGUUGGGCCUCCGUCCUCCUCCCGGGGGACGGGCCCGAAAGGCAGCGGCGGCACCGCGUCCGGUCCUCGAGCGUAUGGGGCUUCGUCACCCGCUCUUGUAGGCCCGGCCGGCGCUUGCCGACACAUCAAUCUUUUUUCCAGGUUGACCUCGGAUCAGGUAGGGAUACCCGCUGAACUUAAGCAUAUCAAUAAGCGGAGGA